This 544-nucleotide long non-coding RNA is filed under the name Mus musculus (house mouse). RNAcentral's name for it is "long non-coding RNA chr4:38263917-38264461". Lineage: Eukaryota; Metazoa; Chordata; Mammalia; Rodentia; Muridae. The record is from RNAcentral.
AGGUCACCUGCCAAGAUGGUUCGCUACUCUCUUGACCCAGAAAACCCCACAAAAUCAUGCAAAUCAAGAGGGUCAAACCUUCGUGUUCACUUUAAGAACACCAGGGAAACUGACCAGGCCAUCAAGGGUAUGCAUCCACAAAGCUACCAAGUAUCUGAAGGAUGUCACUUUAAAGAAGCAAUGUGUGCCAUUCUGGCGGUAUAAUGGUGGAGUUGGUAGGUGCGCCCAGGCCAAACAGUGGGGCUGGACACAGGGUCAGUGGCCAAAAAAGAGUGCUGAAUUUUUGCUGCACAUGCUUAAAAAUGCAAAGAGUAACGCUGAACUUAAGGGUUUAGACGUAAAUUCUCUAGCCAUUGAACACAUCCACAUUGAACAAGGCACCUAAGAUGCGCUGAUGAACCUACAGAGCUCAUGGCCGGAUUAACCCAUACAUGAGCUGAAUAAAAGAUAGAAAAACAUUCCAACCAAGUUGACAUGAGAAGCAAGCUGCUAUAGCCAUUUUAAUAUCUGACAAGAUAAACUUCAAAUCAAAACUAGUCAGAAG